Molecule: unclassified non-coding RNA, 344 nt
Filed under: soil metagenome
Description: partial contains 5.8S ribosomal RNA, internal transcribed spacer 2, and large subunit ribosomal RNA
Rfam family: 5.8S ribosomal RNA (bases 6-121)
Source: RNAcentral
GAUGAAAGAACGUAGCGAAAUGCGAUAAGUAAUGUGAAUUGCAGAAUUCAGUGAAUCAUCGAAUCUUUGAACGCACAUUGCGCCCGCCAGUAUUCUGGCGGGCAUGCCUGUUCGAGCGUCAUUUCAACCCUCAGGACCCUUUGGACCUGGUGUUGGGGCUCGGCCGCUACCCCGCGGCCGUCCCCGAAAGAUAGUGGCGGUCUCGCUGUAGCGUCCUCUGCGUAGUAAUUACACCUCGCACUGGAACGCGGCGCGGCCACGCCGUUAAACACCCCACUUCUCAAGGUUGACCUCGGAUCAGGUAGGAAUACCCGCUGAACUUAAGCAUAUCAAUAAGCGGAGGA